GUCGACCGCCUGGGGAGUACGGCCGCAAGGUUAAAACUCAAAUGAAUUGACGGGGGCCCGCACAAGCGGUGGAGCAUGUGGUUUAAUUCGAUGCAACGCGAAGAACCUUACCUACUCUUGACAUCCACGGAAUUUGGCAGAGAUGCCUUAGUGCCUUCGGGAACCGUGAGACAGGUGCUGCAUGGCUGUCGUCAGCUCGUGUUGUGAAAUGUUGGGUUAAGUCCCGCAACGAGCGCAACCCUUAUCCUUUGUUGCCAGCGAUUAGGUCGGGAACUCAAAGGAGACUGCCAGUGAUAAACUGGAGGAAGGUGGGGAUGACGUCAAGUCAUCAUGGCCCUUACGAGUAGGGCUACACACGUGCUACAAUGGCAUAUACAAAGAGAAGCGACCUCGCGAGAGCAAGCGGACCUCAUAAAGUAUGUCGUAGUCCGGAUUGGAGUCUGCAACUCGACUCCAUGAAGUCGGAAUCGCUAGUAAUCGUGGAUCAGAAUGCCACGGUGAAUACGUUCCCGGGCCUUGUACACACCGCCCGUCACACCAUGGGAGUGGGUUGCAAAAGAAGUAGGUAGCUUAACCUUCGGGAGGGCGCUUACCACUUUGUGAUUCAUGACUGGGGUGAAGUCGUAACAAGGUAACCGUAGGGGAACCUGCGGUUGGAUCACCUCCUUACCUGAAAGAA
RNAcentral lists this ribosomal RNA (679 nucleotides) under Klebsiella oxytoca. RNAcentral describes it as "bacterial SSU rRNA". It matches the Rfam family "Bacterial small subunit ribosomal RNA", at positions 864 to 1533 of the family's 1533-position model. Lineage: Bacteria; Pseudomonadati; Pseudomonadota; Gammaproteobacteria; Enterobacterales; Enterobacteriaceae. The record is from RNAcentral.